AGUAUGAUGUUAGCUGUGGGUUUGUCGUAUGUGGCAUUUAUUAUGUUAAGAUCAUAAUGCCUGGUUAUGGCAAAAAGACCGCAAUUCCCACCAGAGAGCAAAAAGGAAGUAAAGCUACCAUUGUUGAUCUGAAACUAAAUGGAUUCUUGUCCGUUGUGAGGAGCAGCAGCCUACAAAGCACACUGAAUGCCAAAUGUGUUGCACCAGGGCUACAGGGAGUCGACUGCUCACAGAAAGCAAGCAUUCUGUUCUAAUUCUGUGCUGUAAGCUUUGCAAUAAGAGGCUCCAUAUGAGAAGGCUGGUGGUUGCCCAGCUGGGCUUAUGACAGACACACCCAGAUGUUUUUAAUCUAUGCAAAAUAAUGAUGGAUACUUGCUACCUUCUUCAACUAAUUUUCAAGAUGUAUUUAUAUAAAAUAAAAGAGUCUUUUAAAGCACAACUUUUUUCAAAUGUAUUUGUUACUGCACCUUUUGCCCUGGAAAAUUAUUUUUCUAUUUUUAUUUUUAUUUUUUGAGACAGGGUCUCACUCUGUCACCCAGGUUGGAGUGCAGUGGUGUGAUCACAGAUCACUGCAGCCUCGACCCCCACAGGCUCAAGUGAUCCUCCCACCUCAGGCCCCUGAGUAGCUGGGACUACAGGCAUGCACCACUAUACCAGCUGAUUUUUAAAACUUUUUGUAGAGACAGAAUCUCACUACAUUGCCCAAGCUAGUCUCAAACUUCUGGUCUCGAGCCACCCUCCCACCUCAGCCUCCCAAUGUGCUGGGAUUACAGGCAUACGCCACCACACCCAGCCUUAUUAUUUUGCUCUUUAGAGAUAAGAUAUCCAAACUUCAAAAAUAUUGUUAAUUUGGUACAAGUUAAAUCUCAGAAAUUUUGGAAACAAUCGCCUUCUGUAAUAUAUGUAAAAUAUUAUACACAGUGUCUGGCAUACAGUUAGUGCUAAAUAAAAGUUUUUC
RNAcentral lists this long non-coding RNA (958 nucleotides) under Homo sapiens (human). Its description in RNAcentral is "non-protein coding lnc-SLC7A14-3:13". Lineage: Eukaryota; Metazoa; Chordata; Mammalia; Primates; Hominidae. The record is from RNAcentral.